RNAcentral lists this ribosomal RNA (569 nucleotides) under Streptomyces sp. 384F09. Its description in RNAcentral is "bacterial SSU rRNA". It matches the Rfam family "Bacterial small subunit ribosomal RNA", at positions 93 to 671 of the family's 1533-position model. Lineage: Bacteria; Bacillati; Actinomycetota; Actinomycetes; Kitasatosporales; Streptomycetaceae. The record is from RNAcentral.
UAGUGGCGAACGGGUGAGUAACACGUGGGCAAUCUGCCCUUCACUCUGGGACAAGCCCUGGAAACGGGGUCUAAUACCGGAUACCACUCCUGCCUGCAUGGGCGGGGGUUGAAAGCUCCGGCGGUGAAGGAUGAGCCCGCGGCCUAUCAGCUUGUUGGUGGGGUAAUGGCCCACCAAGGCGACGACGGGUAGCCGGCCUGAGAGGGCGACCGGCCACACUGGGACUGAGACACGGCCCAGACUCCUACGGGAGGCAGCAGUGGGGAAUAUUGCACAAUGGGCGAAAGCCUGAUGCAGCGACGCCGCGUGAGGGAUGACGGCCUUCGGGUUGUAAACCUCUUUCAGCAGGGAAGAAGCGAAAGUGACGGUACCUGCAGAAGAAGCGCCGGCUAACUACGUGCCAGCAGCCCGCGGUAAUACGUAGGGCGCAAGCGUUGUCCGGAAUUAUUGGGCGUAAAGAGCUCGUAGGCCGGCUUGUCACGUCGGAUGUGAAAGCCCGAGGCUUAACCUCGGGUCUGCAUUCGAUACGGGGCUAGCUAGAGUGUGGUAGGGGNAGAUCCGGAAUUCCU